This 798-nucleotide non-coding RNA is filed under the name Pongo abelii (Sumatran orangutan). The record is from RNAcentral. Lineage: Eukaryota; Metazoa; Chordata; Mammalia; Primates; Hominidae.
GACUCUGCCUUUGCUUGCAGUUCUCUGGCUUGAUUGAGGAGGUUCUCACUUUCAUCUUUAUGGGACUUUGGCUAAAAAAAUAACCUGUCAAAGGAACUGGCAUUUGCUGACGGGACUACAGCACAUCUCGAAGAAUCUGCAGACUGAAACCUUCAAGGCAUUCAUGAAAUGGUCUUUCCUUAGUUCCCCUGCCCUUUCUACUCUUUCUGCCAUUUGGAUUUCACACUGGAAGUUCAAGAGAUGACAUCAGAAAACAGAAAAGCCAGUGGGAAAGGCAAGGAGAUUUGGAAGAGUGUUUGAAAAUUUUGGCAAUCAAGAAUAAGAAGGUCAGUAAAUUUCAGUGCAGGACCACAUAAGUCUAAAAUGCUACCUACAAUUUUGCUUAAAGAUCGUGCAACUGUGUAGGCGGAUGUUCCUGCAAACCCAAAGCAGGAAGCCAAGUCACCAGGCAGAGCUGAUAGCAUGGGAAGUGGGUUCCCACCGGUCGCAUGCAGCUGCUCUGGUAUGGCCAUGGUGCUGGGGAUGAGUCAGAAAUCUCAGUCUUUCCUGACUUAGUGAAAAGGAAGAAUGGAACCCAUCUUCUCCAAAUAUGUUGCUAUGGGGUAGAUGUAGGUCUAGAGACAGAAAAGAAUCACAUUUGAACAUCCUCUUAAUGCAAGAACAUUUUUAAAGAAUCAAUUUCCCCUGAAUAUCCAUCAAGCCUAAUACAGUGUGACUAUCUCAGAUCAAUUGUCCUUAUCUUUACAAAGACUGGGAGUUAUAUAGCUGUGGACAAAAGCAAUACUGUAAAAUAUGUGU